GUAUCCGGAAGAUGGUUCCGAAUCAACUGGAUAGGAUUUUUAAUUUCCGAAGGCACGAGCUCCCCUGGCAUCCGCAAAUGUGACCCGCAAUUUAGAGAGGAAGAGGAGCGCAGACCCUACCUGUCCGGAGUAACGGUCAGGAGAGAGGUGGGGAAGGGCUGGGCCCCUCUCGGUGUCCCGGGUUCCCGGCAGAAGUCUCCAGGGCUGAGGGAGUCUGCAGACACGGAGUUUCCGUGCCAGAGGAGCGGGUCCACGCGGACAGGCAGUUCCAGCUCCGGAGAGUCAAGGGAUUGGAUUGUGGAUUGCAUUGGUGGUUUUCCUCAGUUUCCUCAUCUUCUCCACAAGUUUCUACAUAUCGAAUGCAGAGCAGCCCUUCUUCAAAGGACCUCCUACGGAAGCUGCUAAGGAACUCAGUCUGUAGCUCUGCGUGGAGCCAUGUGUAAACACUGAACUGAGACCUGCCACCUCCUACUACCUAAGGGCCCAUUUUCAUCUGAUAUCAUCCCCCAGAAACAAACUCAUGAUGACUUCCAUGUUUUUUUUAGAUUAGAUACAUGGAGAAUUUUCCUUUCCCUUAGAAUUAAAAUCCUGCAUUCUAAUUUUCAGUAAGCUUUUUUAUUUCUGAAUAAUUUUAAAUUUAAAGAGAAGUUGCAAAGAUAGUAUAGAAUGUUCCCUUAUACCUGUUUUUAUUUAGAGUGAUGUUCCCAGGAGAAAUGAUAAUGCAGCAAUGGACAAGAACAGGAACAAGAGACAGUCUUACCAUCUUCUUACAAUUUAUAGAUGGGACAGUGGAAAGAGAAGCCACAUCGGGGUUGGGCAUGCAGAGACCUGGUCCUAAAUCUGUGUGACUUUUGCGAAAUCCUUUUGCCUCACAGAGCUCUAGGUUCUUAUCUGUCAAACAGGAACCAGACCAUCAGAUCCGUAGAGAUCCAACCAAUGAAGGAGACUUCGAAAACUUCACAUUGCCGUGUCAAUGUGAGGUUGCUGGAUGGUUAUGACAAGAAAUCACAUUAAAUUCACUGGGGUAACAUUGUUCAUGAAACGGGAUAAUGUGUUUCAGCGAUGAACCACCCAUGGCCUUACUACAGACAUAUUUCCACUUUGAAAAUGUGUGUGAGUGUACAUGUCUGUGUGUGAGGCAGAGAUUAGAAAGUGUAAAUGUGUGCGUUUUCAUUUUACACAUCUUACAUUUUCCUUUAAUUUGUUUGAAAGCCUGUUUUGUUUGUGGCUUCCAUUCCUGGAAGUCCCAUGAGUUGUUAGUGGUGAAGAUGGAACAGAUGUGUCCAACCCGGGGGACUCCUGCCCUCAGGGACUGAGCAGCUGCAAACCUCUCUCUCAUCUGAUUCCACUGUUUCUUCCACAUGUACACAUCAUGAGAAAUAUUGUUCAAUCAAUAUCUUCCCUUAAAUCAACUCAUAUGCUUAUUUACAUGAAUUUACCUAAAACAGAAACUUGAUAUCACUUCUGUAAAUGAAAAAAUUAAACUUUCUGGCUUUAAAUAAAGCAUAACAAUAAUAAUCAUGUCAAA
Molecule: long non-coding RNA, 1528 nt
Organism: Homo sapiens (human)
Lineage: Eukaryota; Metazoa; Chordata; Mammalia; Primates; Hominidae
Product: long intergenic non-protein coding RNA 943
Source: Ensembl